RNAcentral lists this ribosomal RNA (332 nucleotides) under uncultured bacterium. RNAcentral's name for it is "partial 16S ribosomal RNA". It matches the Rfam family "Bacterial small subunit ribosomal RNA", at positions 338 to 667 of the family's 1533-position model. The record is from RNAcentral.
CCUAGGGGAGGCAGCAGUGAGGAAUAUUGGUCAAUGGACGCAAGUCUGAACCAGCCAUGCCGCGUGCAGGAAGACGGCUCUAUGAGUUGUAAACUGCUUUUGUACGAGGGUAAACGCAGAUACGCGUAUCUGGCUGAAAGUAGCGUACGAAUAAGGAUCGGCUAACUCCGUGCCAGCAGCCGCGGUAAUACGGAGGAUUCAAGCGUUAUCCGGAUUUAGUGGGUUUCAAGGGUGCGUAGGCGGUCGGAUAAGUGAGAGGGGAAAUCCCGCGGCUAAACUGCGGAAUGGCCUCUGAUACUGUUCGGCUAGAGCGUAGUUGCGGUAGGCGGACU